CAGCAGUGAGGAAGGUGGGUAUGUUAAUAGCAUAUUCAUUUGACGUUUAGCUGCAGAAGAAGCACCGGCUAACUCCGUGCCAGCAGCCGCGGUAAUACGGAGGGUGCGAGCGUUAAUCGGAAUUACUGGGCGUAAAGCGCAUGCAGGUGGUUUGUUAAGUCAGAUGUGAAAGCCCGGGGCUCAACCUCGGAAUUGCAUUUGAAACUGGCAAACUAGAGUACUGUAGAGGGGGUAGAAUUUCAGGUGUAGCGGUGAAAAUGCGUAGAGAUCUGAAGGAAUACCGGUGGCGAAGGCGGCCCCCUGGACAGAUACUGACACUCAGAUGCGAAAGCGUGGGGAGCAAACAGGUUUAGAUACCCUGGUAG
This 365-nucleotide ribosomal RNA is filed under the name uncultured bacterium. RNAcentral's name for it is "bacterial SSU rRNA". It matches the Rfam family "Bacterial small subunit ribosomal RNA", at positions 434 to 793 of the family's 1533-position model. The record is from RNAcentral.